RNAcentral lists this ribosomal RNA (253 nucleotides) under uncultured bacterium. RNAcentral describes it as "partial 16S ribosomal RNA". It matches the Rfam family "Bacterial small subunit ribosomal RNA", at positions 524 to 776 of the family's 1533-position model. The record is from RNAcentral.
UACGAAGGGGGCUAGCGUUGCUCGGAAUCACUGGGCGUAAAGGGCGCGUAGGCGGCCGUUCAAGUCGGGGGUGAAAGCCUGUGGCUCAACCACAGAAUGGCCCUCGAUACUGGAUGGCUCGAGACUGGAAGAGGUUGGUGGAACUGCGAGUGUAGAGGUGAAAUUCGUAGAUAUUGGGAGGAACACCAGUGGCGAAGGCGGCUCACUGGACCGGAACUGACGCUGAGGCGCGAAAGCGUGGGGAGCAAACAGG